CGCGUAGGCGGCCAUCUAAGUCAGACGUGAAAUCCCCCGGCUUAACCUGGGAACUGCGUCUGAUACUGGACGGCUCGAGUGUGGGAGAGGGAUGUAGAAUUCCAGGUGUAGCGGUGAAAUACGUAGAUAUCUGGAGGAACACCGGUGGCGAAGGCGGCAUCCUGGACCAACACUGACGCUGAGGAGCGAAAGCCAGGGGGAGCAAAACGG
This 210-nucleotide ribosomal RNA is filed under the name uncultured bacterium. RNAcentral describes it as "partial 16S ribosomal RNA". It matches the Rfam family "Bacterial small subunit ribosomal RNA", at positions 568 to 776 of the family's 1533-position model. The record is from RNAcentral.